RNAcentral lists this ribosomal RNA (446 nucleotides) under uncultured bacterium. Its description in RNAcentral is "bacterial SSU rRNA". It matches the Rfam family "Bacterial small subunit ribosomal RNA", at positions 335 to 772 of the family's 1533-position model. The record is from RNAcentral.
ACUCCUACGGGAGGCAGCAGUGGGGAAUAUUGCACAAUGGGCGCAAGCCUGAUGCAGCCAUGCCGCGUGUAUGAAGAAGGCCUUCGGGUUGUAAAGUACUUUCAGCAGUGAGGAAGGUAGUGUAGUUAAUAGCUGCAUUAUUUGACGUUAACAACAGAAGAAGCACCGGCUAACUCCGUGCCAGCAGCCGCGGUAAUACGGAGGGUGCGAGCGUUAAUCGGAAUUACUGGGCGUAAAGCGCACGCAGGCGGCUUGUUAAGCUAGAGGUGAAAGCCCCNCGCUCAACGUGGGAACUGCCUUUUAGAACUGGCAGGCUAGAUCUUUGGAGAGGGGAGUGGAAUUCUAGGUGUAGCGGUGAAAUGCGUAGAUAUCUGGAGGAACAUCAGUGGCGAAGGCGGCUCCCUGGCCAAAGACUGACGCUCAUGUGCGAAAGUGUGGGUAGCGAA